Molecule: ribosomal RNA, 765 nt
Filed under: Candidatus Woesebacteria bacterium
Lineage: Bacteria; Candidatus Woeseibacteriota
Description: bacterial SSU rRNA
Rfam family: Bacterial small subunit ribosomal RNA
Source: RNAcentral
AACAUGGAGAGUUUGAUCCUGGCUCAGGAUUAACGUUGGCAGUGUGCCUAACACAUGCAAGUCGAGCGAUAUAGCGGCAGACGAGAGAGUAAUAACAAGGAACUUACCCCCGAGUGAAGGAUAGCCGUCCGAAAGGACGGGUAAUCCUGCAUAACAUCGAAAGAUCAAAGUCCCUCACCCUUUAUGGACAGAUAAUGUCUAAUUUAAUUCGCGAAAGCGAAUUGAGUCCAUAAAGGGUGAGGGACGCUUGGGGAGAGGCCUUGUCCCUAUCAGCUAGUUGGUGAGGUAAAAGCCCACCAAGGCGAUGACGGGUAGCUGGACUGAGAGGUUGACCAGCCUCGAUGGGACUGAGACACGGCCCAUACUCCUACGGGAGGCAGCAGUUGGGAAUUUUGCACAAUGGGCGCAAGCCUGAUGCAGCAACACUGCGUGAAGGAUGAAGGUUUUCGGAUCGUAAACUUCUUUUAUCUGGGAAUAAUCUUGAAGGUACCAGAUGAAUAAGCACCGGCUAACUACGUGCCAGCAGCCGCGGUAAUACGUAGGGUGCAAACGUUAUCCGGAUUUAUUGGGCGUAAAGCGCUCGUAGGUGGUUUUGUAAGUUGGAUAUUAAAUAUCCCGGCUCAACCGGGAAACUGUAUCCAAAACUGCAUCACUUGAGGUAUGUAGGGGAGGAUGGAACUUGUGGUGUAGCAGUGAAAUGCGUAGAUAUCACAAGGAACGCCAAUGGUGAAGACAGUCCUCUGGACAUUACCUGACACUGAGGAG